RNAcentral lists this ribosomal RNA (467 nucleotides) under uncultured bacterium. RNAcentral describes it as "partial 16S ribosomal RNA". It matches the Rfam family "Bacterial small subunit ribosomal RNA", at positions 28 to 523 of the family's 1533-position model. The record is from RNAcentral.
GAUGAAUGCUGGCGGCGUGCCUAACACAUGCAAGUCGAGCGGCAGCGCGAGUAGUUUACUACUUGGCGGCGAGCGGCGGACGGCUGAGUAACGCGUGGGAACGUGCCCCAAAGUGAGGAAUAACUGCCCGAAAGGGUGGCUAAUACCGCAUAUGCUCUUCGGAUUAAAGUCUUCGGACGCUUUGGGAGCGGCCCGCGUCGGAUUAGGUUGUUGGUGAGGUAAUGGCUCACCAAGCCGACGAUCCGUAGCUGGUCUGAGAGGAUGAUCAGCCAGACUGGGACUGAGACACGGCCCAGACUCCUACGGGAGGCAGCAGUGAGGAAUCUUCCACAAUGGGCGAAAGCCUGAUGGAGCAACGCCGCGUGCAGGAUGAAGGCCUUCGGGUCGUAAACUGCUUUUAUGAGUGAAGAAUAUGACGGUAACUCAUGAAUAAGCACCGGCUAACUACGUGCCAGCCGCCGCGGUAA